GAUCCGGAUUAGAUACCCUGGUAGUCCACGCCGUAAACGAUGUCGACUUGGAGGCUGUUUCCUUGAGAAGUGGCUUCCGGAGCUAACGCGUUAAGUCGACCGCCUGGGGAGUACGGCCGCAAGGUUAAAACUCAAAUGAAUUGACGGGGGCCCGCACAAGCGGUGGAGCAUGUGGUUUAAUUCGAUGCAACGCGAAGAACCUUACCUACUCUUGACAUCCACGGAAUUUGGCAGAGAUGCCUUAGUGCCUUCGGGAACCGUGAGACAGGUGCUGCAUGGCUGUCGUCAGCUCGUGUUGUGAAAUGUUGGGUUAAGUCCCGCAACGAGCGCAACCCUUAUCCUUUGUUGCCAGCGAUUCGGUCGGGAACUCAAAGGAGACUGCCGGUGAUAAACCGGAGGAAGGUGGGGAUGACGUCAAGUCAUCAUGGCCCUUACGAGUAGGGCUACACACGUGCUACAAUGGCGCAUACAAAGAGAAGCGACCUCGCGAGAGCAAGCGGACCUCAUAAAGUGCGUCGUAGUCCGGAUCGGAGUCUGCAACUCGACUCCGUGAAGUCGGAAUCGCUAGUAAUCGUGGAUCAGAAUGCCACGGUGAAUACGUUCCCGGGCCUUGUACACACCGCCCGUCACACCAUGGGAGUGGGUUGCAAAAGAAGUAGGUAGCUUAACCUUCGGGAGGGCGCUUACCACUUUGUGAUUCAUGACUGGUGUGAAGUCGUAACAAGGU
RNAcentral lists this ribosomal RNA (727 nucleotides) under uncultured bacterium. RNAcentral's name for it is "bacterial SSU rRNA". It matches the Rfam family "Bacterial small subunit ribosomal RNA", at positions 770 to 1497 of the family's 1533-position model. The record is from RNAcentral.